CCUGAGAAACCCAAAAGAUCGAAUGGGGAGAUUCAUCGUCAGCUCAUUUUGUAUAUGUAUGAGUUAUGAUGCGGGUUACUACUUGUAGUAUUGCUUGCACAUUCUUGUACAUUUAUUUGCAGGAUGUUGUCGGCGUGCACUUCUCCCCUAGUAGAACGUCGCGACCCGUUGGGUGUCGGUCUACGGCCCGAGGUGGAGCCUCCAAUGUUUUAAUAUUGGAGACCCUUGGUGUUUCCUGACCGACUGCUCGGCGGUAUUCGUAUGGUAUUGAGCCGCAUAUUAUGCGUCUGUAUCCGUCGCAAGCGAGGCUAAUUUCUAGUAGUACGGACCUAGUGCCGUCGCUGGUAUUGGCCAGCUGUUGGUUGUACGGUGUUCUAAGACAGGCUAAUAUACCGGUCAGCGAUGCUACUGCUUUGGGUACUUUCAGG
This 428-nucleotide ribosomal RNA is filed under the name Pentatermus sp. BCLDQ00264. RNAcentral describes it as "eukaryotic LSU rRNA". The record is from RNAcentral. Lineage: Eukaryota; Metazoa; Arthropoda; Insecta; Hymenoptera; Braconidae.